UGGGGAAUAUUGCACAAUGGGCGCAAGCCUGAUGCAGCCAUGCCGCGUGUAUGAAGAAGGCCUUCGGGUUGUAAAGUACUUUCAGCGGGGAGGAAGGCGAUAAGGUUAAUAACCUUGUCGAUUGACGUUACCCGCAGAAGAAGCACCGGCUAACUCCGUGCCAGCAGCCGCGGUAAUACGGAGGGUGCAAGCGUUAAUCGGAAUUACUGGGCGUAAAGCGCACGCAGGCGGUCUGUCAAGUCGGAUGUGAAAUCCCCGGGCUCAACCUGGGAACUGCAUUCGAAACUGGCAGGCUAGAGUCUUGUAGAGGGGGGUAGAAUUCCAGGUGUAGCGGUGAAAUGCGUAGAGAUCUGGAGGAAUACCGGUGGCGAAGGCGGCCCCCAGGACAAAGACUGACGCUCAGGUGCGAAAGCGUGGGGAGCAAACA
Molecule: ribosomal RNA, 427 nt
Filed under: uncultured bacterium
Lineage: Bacteria
Description: partial 16S ribosomal RNA
Rfam family: Bacterial small subunit ribosomal RNA
Source: RNAcentral